UUUAAGUGCAACCAUAAGUUUUUACACCCAAUUUUGAUCGUCCGUCUUAUUUAAUUUUUUUAUAAUUAGUAUUUUUAUUAUUAUGAGAUAAUAAAACAUUAAUAAUACUUUAUACAUAACUUAUGUUUUUAAUUUUUUUAAAUGAGAUGGAUGAUCAAAAUUAUGCAUGAAAAAUUCUGACUGCACUUAAA
Non-coding RNA from Oryza barthii, 191 nucleotides. Lineage: Eukaryota; Viridiplantae; Streptophyta; Magnoliopsida; Poales; Poaceae. The record is from Rfam.